GACGAACGCUGGCGGCGUGCUUAACACAUGCAAGUCGAACGAAGUGGCGAACGGGUGAGUAACGCGUAAUCAACCUGCCCUUCAGAGGGGGACAACAGUUGGAAACGACUGCUAAUACCGCAUACUGAAGGAGGGGAUUGCGUCUGAUUAGCUAGUUGGAGGGGUAACGGCCCACCAAGGCGAUGAUUAGUAGCCGGUCUGGGAGGCAGGACGGCCACAUUGGGACUGAGACAACGCCCAGAAUCCUUCGGGGGGCAGCAGUGGGGAAUCUUCCGCCAUGGACGAAAGUCUGACGGAGCAACGCCGCGUGAGUGGUGACGGCCUUCGGGUUGUAAAGCUCUGUUAAGCGGGACGCGGUACCGGAAUAGAAAGCCACGGCUAACUACGUGCCAGCAGCCGCGGUAAUUC
Molecule: ribosomal RNA, 408 nt
Filed under: uncultured bacterium
Lineage: Bacteria
Description: partial 16S ribosomal RNA
Rfam family: Bacterial small subunit ribosomal RNA
Source: RNAcentral